AUGUACUUUUUAUUCUUAAAUUCAGUGUUGAACCUUGAUAUGCCUAUGUCGGAAACCACGACCACCAGCAUGCAGUGCGGGCAAUGGGAGGAGAACAGAUGGCCACCUUGCUGGGAACCAUGGCCGCCCCACAUGCAACAGAUAAAUGAAUGGUGGAUGGAAGGCUACCUCACUGGGAACCAGGGCCAUGACUUGCAGUGGGCAAUCUGUGGCAAACGGAGGCAGGUACUUAGCCAAAUGGUGUACAUGGACAUGAUGACUUUCCAGCGUUUAUGGACCAACCAACUUGUAAUCAUUUGGUGUUUCAGUUAUUUUGGAGCUUGCAUUUUGUGCAUGUGGAUACAGACUUGUGUGUUCUGGACCAUGUAG
Molecule: ribosomal RNA, 369 nt
Filed under: Triticum aestivum (bread wheat)
Lineage: Eukaryota; Viridiplantae; Streptophyta; Magnoliopsida; Poales; Poaceae
Description: partial small subunit ribosomal RNA
Source: RNAcentral